GAUGAACGCUGGCGGCGUGCCUAAUACAUGCAAGUCGAGCGAACAGACGAGGAGCUUGCUCCUCUUACGUUAGCGGCGGACGGGGGAGUAAAACGUGGAUAACCUACCUAUAAGGCUGGGAUAACUUCGGGAAACCGGAGCUAAUACCGGAUAAUAUAUUGAACCGCAUGGUUCAAUAGUGUAGGACGGUUUUGCUGUCACUUAUCCAUGGAUCCGCGCCGAAUUAGCUAGUUGGUAAGGUAACGGCUUACCAAGGCGACGAUGCGUAGCCGACCUGAGAGGGUGAUCGGCCACACUGGAACUGAGACACGGUCCAGACUCCUACGGGAGGCAGCAGUAGGGAAUCUUCCGCAAUGGGCGAAAGCCUGACGGAGCAACGCCGCGUGAGUGAUGAAGGUCUUCGGAUCGUAAAACUCUGUUAUUAGGGAAGAACUCGUGUCUAAGUAACUAUGCUCGUCUUGACGGUACCUAAUCAGAAAGCCACGGCUAACUACGUG
RNAcentral lists this ribosomal RNA (497 nucleotides) under uncultured bacterium. RNAcentral describes it as "partial 16S ribosomal RNA". It matches the Rfam family "Bacterial small subunit ribosomal RNA", at positions 28 to 507 of the family's 1533-position model. The record is from RNAcentral.